AAACUGGUGCUAAUACCGCAUGACACCUGAGGGUCAAAGGCGAGAGUCGCCUGUGGAGGAACCUGCGUUCGAUUAGCUAGUUGGUGGGGUAAAGGCCUACCAAGGCGAUGAUCGAUAGCUGGUCUGAGAGGAUGAUCAGCCACACUGGGACUGAGACACGGCCCAGACUCCUACGGGAGGCAGCAGUGGGGAAUAUUGGACAAUGGGGGCAACCCUGAUCCAGCAAUGCCGCGUGUGUGAAGAAGGUCUUCGGAUUGUAAAGCACUUUCGACGGGGACGAUGAUGACGGUACCCGUAGAAGAAGCCCCGGCUAACUUCGUGCCAGCAGCCGCGGUAAUACGAAGGGGGCUAGCGUUGCUCGGAAUGACUGGGCGUAAAGGGCGCGUAGGCGGUUGUUACAGUCAGAUGUGAAAUUCCUGGGCUUAACCUGGGGGCUGCAUUUGAUACGUGAUGACUAGAGUGUGAGAGAGGGUUGUGGAAUUCCCAGUGUAGAGGUGAAAUUCGUAGAUAUUGGGAAGAACACCGGUGGCGAAGUGCGGCAA
This 542-nucleotide ribosomal RNA is filed under the name Nguyenibacter sp. VTH-Ai26. RNAcentral describes it as "bacterial SSU rRNA". It matches the Rfam family "Bacterial small subunit ribosomal RNA", at positions 154 to 727 of the family's 1533-position model. The record is from RNAcentral. Lineage: Bacteria; Pseudomonadati; Pseudomonadota; Alphaproteobacteria; Acetobacterales; Acetobacteraceae.